Non-coding RNA from Beauveria bassiana ARSEF 2860, 468 nucleotides. It matches the Rfam family "RNase MRP". From Rfam's summary of the family: RNase MRP is an enzymatically active ribonucleoprotein with two distinct roles in eukaryotes. The record is from Rfam. Lineage: Eukaryota; Fungi; Ascomycota; Sordariomycetes; Hypocreales; Cordycipitaceae.
CCUUCGCUCAACAGAUCGCUGUCGAAGCUCACACACAGAGACGUUUCCUAUGGAAUGUCUCUUAUUCUAGCUUUGGGAGAAAGUCCCCGGACACCUUCUUUUUUCUUUACGGAAAAAGAACCUGCGGAAACGCGCCGCCAUAAAAGCACUGCGGCUGACUUUCGUGUCUUGGCCGCCUCUAGCAACGACCAUGCCCAGUCUACCGCUACAUUCGCCUGCCUGGAAGCCGAUGCGUCUCUUCCCAAUAGCCCGUCGCUCGAACCCCUACAGGAUGAAGAUACGAGUCCGAGUCGGGUGCGGGCUGGAAAGGAGCGUGCGCUUGGCAGACAGCGGGUGGAUGGUAGACCGACGCCUGUGGCUCUUGCUGGGGUGGUUUCGGGCGCAGAAGAUUUUUGUCGAGAUCGAUAGUUAUGCGAUUGCUGGGCUUCACGGCCUAGUUACUCGAUGGGGCUCAUUCUUGAGGCGAAG